UGGCCCGCUGCGAAUUUCCACGGAGAAAAAAAUAUGCAGAUGUCAUGCUGAUUUACUGACUCAGCACCUUUUCACUGAAUUUGUCACCUACGGUGGGCUACCGGCCUCGAAAUGAGAACCUGGGCGCAUGCGCGUAUAUCGCAUCUAGGACAAUUUUAUUGUCAAGAGGAGGGAGAUAGGUAAUUAUGGAACGUUUCUAAAGCUGUUUUUGUAUUUUGACGGUCUGUGGCUAAGGCUGGAGAGUGGUGAAGAAUAAUCUUUCAACAGAAAUGUCUGCAAGAUUGUUCAAAACAUUGUUUUCUUUUUUUUAUUUAAGACUCUUCAAUUGACAUAAUUACAGGAAAUAGCAUGUUCAUUAAAUGCAUCAAGCCAUGAGUUUGGGAAGUGAACUACUAUAGAGUGAUCAGUGAAUGGAUAUGUUGGACUUUGUGCAUAGUUGUACUUGUGCGAAGUGGUGAAGUAACUUGGCUUGAAUUUAGAUUCAUCCCUGCUCUCCUAAUUUCUAAAUAAAGUUCUUAAAUUUUCUUCCCGAUUGUACUGUGUUCACGUUGCAAGGAUGGAUUGCGAGUUGGUUGGAUUAGUGGAAACAUUUGCCUACAAAGUGUUGCAUGUUGUUAAAGGGACAGUAUCAUCGAAAAAAAAAUCCAUGUAUGGAGCUGAUUUUUUUUUUUACUAGCAUUUCUUAUUUUUCUGAAUCAGAAAAACAUAGUUUGAGGACCGAACUCGGUGAAAAAUAUUGCAACCACAUUUCAUUUUCAUGAUUCAUUUUCAUGAGCGAACCACCACUAUACAAGCAUGGCCGCCAGUUUGGAAGCAUGCAAAAUUACUACAGAACUGGCGCAGAUAAUACAUUAUUGACGCUACGCUUACGCGGUCGUUCUUCUGAUUGAGUUGUCCUUAGGGAGAGGUAGCCUUAGGUAUUGCCUAUAAAAAUAUAACGUGACAAUUGGAGGGAGUGACAAUUGGACGUGACAAUUGACAAUGGGAGAAAAUAUCACGUGACAAUCACGUGAUAAACGUCAUACAUUGGAGGGAGAUUGUGAUUCAAGCUGGAGGAAUUCCUUUGUUGAGCCGCUAGAAUCCGAAGGAAACAGGGGAAAUUGCCUACGACUAUUUAAUGAAUUUAACGGUGAUGAAUAAGUGCGAAAAACGUUUUGGCUUUAUAAAAUUUGAUGAAAUGACCAGGGUAAAAGUUUUAUUACUGGCGGUCAAUUCAAAACGGCGCAAACAUUUAAACAGUGAAGAUAGUGAAGAACGAUUCAAAGUGUGGUACACCUUUCGUACUUUGAGCGGCGAUAGCGGGAUAACGGUGUGGAGCUUCGAGGAUCGGUCUUCAGUUCCCGGACCAGAAAGGUGGGGCCUAUGCAAUGUCAAAUUUCAUCAAAAUGGUGAUACUGUCCCUUUAAGCACUGCUGGCAAUGCUUAUGGUAUGUGCUGUGUUGGACUUUGUGCAUAGUUGUGCGAAGUGUUGAAGCAACUUUGCUUAAAUUCAGAUUCAUCCCUAGUCUGCUAAUUUUUCAAAAGGUUUAAGUUUCUUCAAUUUUCUUCCUGUUUGUACUGUGUUCAUGUUCCAAGGAUGGGUUGUGAGCUGGUUGGAUUAGUGGAAACAUUUGCCUGCAGAGUGUUGCAUGUUGUUUAGCACUAGUAUUAUUUGCUAGCAGUGCCUAUGGUUAAUUGUUGCUUGUGCAAUUUCAGAAAAAAUAUAUAGAACUUGAUUAAUUAUA
This is a long non-coding RNA of Amphibalanus amphitrite, 1724 nucleotides long. RefSeq lists it as uncharacterized. The transcript is spliced from 2 exons. The record is from RefSeq and is a predicted model, not a curated record. Lineage: Eukaryota; Metazoa; Arthropoda; Thecostraca; Balanomorpha; Balanidae.